This 414-nucleotide ribosomal RNA is filed under the name bacterium 28S133. RNAcentral's name for it is "bacterial SSU rRNA". It matches the Rfam family "Bacterial small subunit ribosomal RNA", at positions 1044 to 1468 of the family's 1533-position model. The record is from RNAcentral.
CAGGCUGUGUCCACUCGUGCCGUGAGGUGUUAGGUUAAGUCCUGCAACGAGCGCAACCCCUGUCACUAGUUGCCAUCAUUAAGUUGGGGACUCUAGUGAGACUGCCUACGCAAGUAGAGAGGAAGGUGGGGAUGACGUCAAAUCAUCACGGCCCUUACGCCUUGGGCCACACACGUAAUACAAUGGCCGGUACAGAGGGCAGCUACACAGCGAUGUGAUGCAAAUCUCGAAAGCCGGUCUCAGUUCGGAUUGGAGUCUGCAACUCGACUCUAUGAAGCUGGAAUCGCUAGUAAUCGCGCAUCAGCCAUGGCGCGGUGAAUACGUUCCCGGGCCUUGUACACACCGCCCGUCAAGCCAUGGAAGUCUGGGGUACCUGAAGUCGGUGACCGUAACAGGAGCUGCCUAUGUUACCAU